This 100-nucleotide non-coding RNA is filed under the name Legionella rubrilucens. Its description in RNAcentral is "TPP sequence". It matches the Rfam family "TPP riboswitch aptamer (THI element)". From Rfam's summary of the family: Vitamin B(1) in its active form thiamin pyrophosphate (TPP) is an essential coenzyme that is synthesised by coupling of pyrimidine and thiazole moieties in bacteria. The record is from Rfam by way of RNAcentral. Lineage: Bacteria; Pseudomonadati; Pseudomonadota; Gammaproteobacteria; Legionellales; Legionellaceae.
UUUUAAAAAACGGGGUGUCUUUGCAGCAUGCAAAGGCUGAGAUCAUACCCAUUGAACCUGUACGGAUCAUGCCGGCGUAGGGAUUGUUUAUGUUACUGGA